ACAUUAAGUGAAAAACUUCUGUAUGCCCCAGUCUGAUAACUGUGACGAAAAGUAUUUUCUGAGUUUUG
Small nucleolar RNA from Nannospalax galili (Upper Galilee mountains blind mole rat), 68 nucleotides. Lineage: Eukaryota; Metazoa; Chordata; Mammalia; Rodentia; Spalacidae. The record is from RefSeq and is a predicted model, not a curated record.